This 424-nucleotide ribosomal RNA is filed under the name uncultured eukaryote. RNAcentral's name for it is "SSU rRNA". It matches the Rfam family "Eukaryotic small subunit ribosomal RNA", at positions 592 to 1018 of the family's 1831-position model. The record is from RNAcentral.
CAAUAGCGUAUACUAAAGUUGUUGCAGUUAAAAAGCUCGUAGUUGAAUUUCUGGAUGCGAAAGAUGGUCGGCACCUCACGGUGUCUGUACUUUUCAUUCGCGUCCAUCCUCGGGAGGAACGUGUGGGGCUUUAAGUAGUUCUGCUCGGGAAUCUCGUCAUUUACUGUGAGCAAAAUAGAGUGUUCAAAGCAGGCUUAUGCCGUUGAAUAUAUUAGCAUGGAAUAAUAAGAUACGACUUUGGUCUAUUUUGUUGGUUUGCAUUCCAAAGUAAUGAUUAAUAGGGAUAGUUGGGGGUAUUCGUAUUCAAUUGUCAGAGGUGAAAUUCUUGGAUUUAUGGAAGACGAACUACUGCGAAAGCAUUUACCAAGGAUGUUUUCAUUAAUCAAGAACGAAAGUUAGGGGAUCGAAGAUGAUUAGAUACCAU